This 1461-nucleotide long non-coding RNA is filed under the name Manacus vitellinus (golden-collared manakin). Its description in RNAcentral is "lncRNA (ENSMVIG00005016308.1)". Lineage: Eukaryota; Metazoa; Chordata; Aves; Passeriformes; Pipridae. The record is from RNAcentral.
CUAAACGCCAGGAACUGCCAGUGUCGCUGAGAGGGAGUGACGGGGGGAUGUUAAUUAUAACAGAGAGAGUCACUAUUUAUUUUUUGUAGUAGUGUCAUAUGAAUGUAUCUUGGUUUUCAAAAUGGUUGCCUUUUUAUAUUAUUUAUGCCUUGAAACCCCUUUUUUUUUUUUUGUUAUUUUUUUUUUUUCUCCCCUCACACGCCGCGAAACUAGCCCUGGUUAUGUGUAUAAAAAAGAAUUGUAAUAAUAUAAAGAAGGAGGAUGGGAAAUGUGGAGUGUGUUUCCGUGGCAUGUUACCAGUGUGAGAAGCACUUCCGAGGAGCCCGGGACAGGGAUUUAAGCAGGUCUGAUGUGGUGACCAAUGGCUGCCACCUCCCUGGCACUCAAACCAUCCUUUCCAUGAACACAUCCCAUCCUCUUUUGGUUUCUCUGGGAAGAUCUCAAUGAGAAAAUGAGAAAAUAAAUAAGAAAAAUGAGCCUCAGCUGAGUCCGUCCAGCGCAGCUUGAAGCAGAGCUUGGGUCGGUGACUGUGUCUUCAGAUGCUUGAUAACCCUUCUGUCUGCAGAAGUACAGGUGGAAAUCCAGCCUGUCUCACCUUGCCCCUCGCAGAAGACAAAAUCCAGUCCUACUCUUGGUUUGAGGGAGUACUGACAGCUUGGAUAGCUCUGAAAUGAAAGCAGUGGUGUCGGAGCAGCUCCCACCGGCCCCGCGCGUGGCUGUCAGGAACCCACCCGCCCCGGACACAGCACGAUGGAGGUGUUGCAACCUUAACUGCAGGGUUUGGGGUUUUGGAUCCUCCCAGCCGGAGCUGCCUUAUUCUGAAGUUCCCUGCAAACCCUGGACCUUACACCCAUGGGUUUUGACUGGCAUGUACCCUGGAGCCACCACAGAGCCCCCUCCUCCCCCUUUGUUUAUCUCCUCCUUGCAGUCUGGACUUUCCCUUCACAGGACCUGCUGUGAGGCUUUCCCCUUUUCCGAUGGAGAGGUUGGAGUUCACCUCUGGCUGCUUCGUCCUCCCCGAACACUGAGAUUUAACCACGGUUUUAAACGACCUUGCUUAAAUCCCCCCCCUGUAUCGUGGGUGUGUUGGAUAAAGACACUCUGUUUUCCAGAGAAUCUGUAAUAUCCCUUUGAAAUCUUAUGUAUUUGGAAACGAUGCUGUUUUGCAGGGGUUUGGGGUGGGGUGUGUAUUUUUGGGGGUGAUGCUGCUCUUUGGCCAGCAUGGGGGUUGAUGCUCUGUGGGCACUGAUUUGAGAUGUCACUCGAUACUUCCCAAUGGAUAAUUAACCAAAUAUAGGACAAAUGGCCCAACAUGCUCUUGUUUCUACAGACACCAAAAGAUGAGGGGGUUGAGGAAGGCUGGGAAGUGCCUGACACUUUCCUUAGACCCUGCCUCCCUCCAUGCUUUCAUGUGGGGAAAAACCAUCACCAGUCACUGUUUUUGUCCUCUUGUGGUUUGGC